GGCCUUGCGCUCUUUGAGCGGCCGAUGUCAGAUUAGCUAGUUGGUGAGGUAAAGGCUUACCAAGGCGACGAUCUGUAGCGGGUCUGAGAGGAUGAUCCGCCACACUGGAACUGAGACACGGUCCAGACUCCUACGGGAGGCAGCAGUGGGGAAUUUCGGACAAUGGGGGCAACCCUGAUCCAGCCAUGCCGCGUGAGUGAAGAAGGCCUUCGGGUUGUAAAGCUCUUUCGGCCGGGAAGAAAUCGCAUGGGCCAAUACCCUGUGUGGAUGACGGUACCGGAAUAAGAAGCACCGGCUAACUACGUGCCAGCAGCCGCGGUAAUACGUAGGGUGCGAGCGUUAAUCGGAAUUACUGGGCGUAAAGCGUGCGCAGGCGGUUUUGUAAGACAGGCGUGAAAUCCCCGAGCUUAACCUGGGAACUGCGUUUGUGACUGCAAGGCUAGAGUACGGCAGAGGGGGGGUGGAAUUCCACGUGUAGCAGUGAAAUGCGUAGAGAUGUGGAGGAACACCAAUGGCGAAGGCAGCCCCCUGGGUCGAUACUGACGCUCAUGCACGAAAGCGUGGGUAGCAAACAGGAUUAGAUACCCUGGUAGUCCACGCCCUAAACUAUGUCAACUAGGUGUUGGGUGGGUAAAACCAUUUAGUACCGUAGCUAACGCGUGAAGUUGACCGCCUGGGGAGUACGGCCGCAAGGUUAAAACUCAAAGGAAUUGACGGGGACCCGCACAAGCGGUGGAUGAUGUGGAUUAAUUCGAUGCAACGCGAAAAACCUUACCUACCCUUGACAUGCCAGGAACUUGCCAGAGAUGGCUUGGUGCCCGAAAGGGAGCCUGGACACAGGUGCUGCAUGGCUGUCGUCAGCUCGUGUCGUGAGAUGUUGGGUUAAGUCCCGCAACGAGCGCAACCCUUGUCGUUAAUUGCCAUCAUUUAGUUGGGCACUUUAACGAGACUGCCGGUGACAAACCGGAGGAAGGUGGGGAUGACGUCAAGUCCUCAUGGCCCUUAUGGGUAGGGCUUCACACGUCAUACAAUGGUCGGUACAAAGGGUUGCCAAGCCGCGAGGCGGAGCCAAUCCCAGAAAGCCGAUCGUAGUCCGGAUUGCAGGCUGCAACUCGCCUGCAUGAAGUCGGAAUCGCUAGUAAUCGUGGAUCAGCAUGUCACGGUGAAUACGUUCCCGGGUCUUGUACACACCGCCCGUCACACCAUGGGAGCGGGUUCCGCCAGAAGUAGGUAGCCUAACCGCAAGGGGGGCGCUACCACGGCGGGGUUCGUGACUGGGGUGAAGUCGAAACAAGGUA
This 1298-nucleotide ribosomal RNA is filed under the name metagenome. Its description in RNAcentral is "bacterial SSU rRNA". It matches the Rfam family "Bacterial small subunit ribosomal RNA", at positions 209 to 1498 of the family's 1533-position model. The record is from RNAcentral.